Molecule: ribosomal RNA, 253 nt
Filed under: uncultured bacterium
Lineage: Bacteria
Description: partial 16S ribosomal RNA
Rfam family: Bacterial small subunit ribosomal RNA
Source: RNAcentral
UACGUAGGCAGCGAGCGUUGUUCGGAAUUACUGGGCGUAAAGAGUGUGUAGGCGGUGCUCUAAGUUCGGUGUGAAAUCUCCUGGCUUAACUGGGAGGGUGCGCCGGAAACUGGGGUGCUCGAGCGUGGGAGAGGAAAGCGGAAUUCCUGGUGUAGCGGUGAAAUGCGUAGAUAUCAGGAGGGACACCUGUGGUGUAGACAGCUUUCUGGACCAUUGCUGACGCUGAGACACGAAAGCGUGGGGAGCGAACAGG